Molecule: ribosomal RNA, 490 nt
Filed under: uncultured bacterium
Lineage: Bacteria
Description: partial 16S ribosomal RNA
Rfam family: Bacterial small subunit ribosomal RNA
Source: RNAcentral
AUUGAACGCUGGCGGCAGGCCUAACACAUGCAAGUCGAACGGUAACAGGAAGAAGCUUGCUUCUUUGCUGACGAGUGGCGGACGGGUGAGUAAUGUCUGGGAAACUGCCUGAUGGAGGGGGAUAACUACUGGAAACGGUAGCUAAUACCGCAUAACGUCGCAAGACCAAAGAGGGGGACCUUCGGGCCUCUUGCCAUCGGAUGUGCCCAGAUGGGAUUAGCUAGUAGGUGGGGUAACGGCUCACCUAGGCGACGAUCCCUAGCUGGUCUGAGAGGAUGACCAGCCACACUGGAACUGAGACACGGUCCAGACUCCUACGGGAGGCAGCAGUGGGGAAUAUUGCACAAUGGGCGCAAGCCUGAUGCAGCCAUGCCGCGUGUAUGAAGAAGGCCUUUGGGUUGUAAAGUACUUUCAGCGGGGAGGAAGGGAGUAAAGUUAAUACCUUUACUCAUUGACGUUACCCGCAGAAGAAGCACCGGCUAACUCCGUG